Non-coding RNA from Bisporella sp. PMI_857, 137 nucleotides. The record is from the annotation of a GenBank genome assembly. NCBI's taxonomy places the organism in Eukaryota, Fungi, Ascomycota, Leotiomycetes, Helotiales, Helotiaceae.
UCCCCUGUGGCACAACUGGUUAGCGCGUAAGUAAUUUGAACUUCUAAUGCAUAACUUUCCACUAAAUCACACCUAUAGGUCAGACUGUUAGUAAAUGAGCAAUCUGGAGGUUGAUAGUUCGAUCCUAUCCGGGGGAG